AUCAUAAUACUUUUUCAGAUUUUAGAAUGUGCCAAACGAAAUUCCUACAGUGUUUUUUUGGUUUUUAAUCUAAAACGUCUUAUUUGUUUAUAAAAACGGAUACCACCGUUUACUUCCAACAUUAAAAUUCAAUAUUGGGAAGUAUGUCUAAUUUAGCAUCGCUUAUUGAUCUAAAAUGUAUGAAAAAUAGGUGUUCUUCGACCACUGUUAUAGUUAAAUAAGGAUCAUU
Molecule: non-coding RNA, 229 nt
Organism: Cinara cedri
Lineage: Eukaryota; Metazoa; Arthropoda; Insecta; Hemiptera; Aphididae
Source: the annotation of a GenBank genome assembly